Molecule: ribosomal RNA, 722 nt
Filed under: uncultured Fusobacterium sp.
Lineage: Bacteria; Fusobacteriati; Fusobacteriota; Fusobacteriia; Fusobacteriales; Fusobacteriaceae
Description: bacterial SSU rRNA
Rfam family: Bacterial small subunit ribosomal RNA
Source: RNAcentral
GAUGAACGCUGACAGAAUGCUUAACACAUGCAAGUCAACUUGAACUUCGGUUUGGGUGGCGGACGGGUGAGUAACGCGUAAAGAACUUGCCUCACAGAUAGGGACAACAUUUGGAAACGAAUGCUAAUACCUGAUAUUAUGAUUUUAGGGCAUCCUAGGAUUAUGAAAGCUAUAUGCACUGUGAGAGAGCUUUGCGUCCCAUUAGCUAGUUGGAGAGGUAACGGCUCACCAAGGCGAUGAUGGGUAGCCGGCCUGAGAGGGUGAUCGGCCACAAGGGGACUGAGACACGGCCCUUACUCCUACGGGAGGCAGCAGUGGGGAGUAUUGGACAAUGGACCAAGAGUCUGAUCCAGCAAUUCUGUGUGCACGAUGAAGUUUUUCGGAAUGUAAAGUGCUUUCAGUUGGGAAGAAAGAAAUGACGGUACCAACAGAAGAAGUGACGGCUAAAUACGUGCCAGCAGCCGCGGUAAUACGUAUGUCACGAGCGUUAUCCGGAUUUAUUGGGCGUAAAGCGCGUCUAGGUGGUUAUGUAAGUCUGAUGUGAAAAUGCAGGGCUCAACUCUGUAUUGCGUUGGAAACUGUGUAACUAGAGUACUGGAGAGGUAAGCGGAACUACAAGUGUAGAGGUGAAAUUCGUAGAUAUUUGUAGGAAUGCCGAUGGGGAAGCCAGCUUACUGGACAGAUACUGACGCUGAAGCGCGAAAGCGUGGGUAGCAAACAGG